AACGGUCUAUACCUGCGGUACCUGCGGAGGGAUCAUUAGUGAACGCCCCCACGGGCUUAUAACUAUUCCAAACCUCUGUGAACCGUGCCCUUCGGGGCUAUUUUACAAACAUGGUGUAAUGAACGUCAUAUAUCAUAACAAAACAAAACUUUCAGCAAUGGAUCUCU
RNAcentral lists this unclassified non-coding RNA (167 nucleotides) under soil metagenome. Its description in RNAcentral is "partial contains 5.8S ribosomal RNA, internal transcribed spacer 2, and large subunit ribosomal RNA". The record is from RNAcentral.